This 339-nucleotide unclassified non-coding RNA is filed under the name soil metagenome. Its description in RNAcentral is "partial contains 5.8S ribosomal RNA, internal transcribed spacer 2, and large subunit ribosomal RNA". The stretch from base 1 to 120 matches the Rfam family "5.8S ribosomal RNA", at positions 35 to 154 of the family's 154-position model. The record is from RNAcentral.
GAUGAAGAACGUAGCGAAAUGCGAUACGUAGUGUGAAUUGCAGGAUUCAGUGAAUCAUCGAAUCUUUGAACGCACAUUGCACCUCUCGGUAUUCCGGGAGGUAUGCCUGUUCGAGCGUCAUUUGUACCCUCAAGCUCUGCUUGGUGUUGGGUGUUUGUUCCGCCUCUGUGUGUGAACUCGCCUCAAAACAAUUGGCAGCCGGCGUACUUGUUUCGGAGCGCAGCACAUUUUGCGAUCCAGAUCAACGUACAGCGGCAUCCAAGAAGCCUUAUUUAACGCUCUUGACCUCGGAUCAGGUAGGGAUACCCGCUGAACUUAAGCAUAUCAAUAAGCGGAGGA